UUAGUAGAAGCCAAAUAGAGGCACGUCUUUGUUAAUGAUGUUAUUGGAUAUUCCCUACUAUU
Molecule: transfer RNA, 62 nt
Filed under: Caprella penantis
Lineage: Eukaryota; Metazoa; Arthropoda; Malacostraca; Amphipoda; Caprellidae
Description: tRNA-Asn
Source: RNAcentral